CCUACGGGGGACAGCAGUGGGGAAUAUUGCACAAUGGGGGAAACCCUGAUGCAGCGACGCCGCGUGAGUGAAGAAGUAUUUCGGUACGUAAAGCUCUAUCAGCAGGGAAGAAAAUGACGGUACCUGACUAAGAAGCCCCGGCUAACUACGUGCCAGCAGCCGCGGUAAUACGUAGGGGGCAAGCGUUAUCCGGAUUUACUGGGUGUAAAGGGAGCGUAGACGGCAGUGCAAGUCUGGAGUGAAAUCCCAUGGCUUAACCAUGGAACUGCUUUGGAAACUGUGCAGCUAGAGUGCAGGAGAGGUAAGCGGAAUUCCUAGUGUAGCGGUGAAAUGCGUAGAUAUUAGGAGGAACACCAGUGGCGAAGGCGGCUUACUGGACUGUAACUGACGUUGAGGCUCGAAAGCGUGGGGAGCAAACAGGAUUAGAUACCCCAGUAGUC
This 440-nucleotide ribosomal RNA is filed under the name uncultured bacterium. RNAcentral describes it as "partial 16S ribosomal RNA". It matches the Rfam family "Bacterial small subunit ribosomal RNA", at positions 338 to 795 of the family's 1533-position model. The record is from RNAcentral.